RNAcentral lists this small nuclear RNA (89 nucleotides) under Procavia capensis (Cape rock hyrax). Lineage: Eukaryota; Metazoa; Chordata; Mammalia; Hyracoidea; Procaviidae. The record is from RNAcentral.
GCACAUGUAUGAAAAUUAAAAUGACGUGGAGAUUAGCAUGUCCCUUGCAUGAGAAUGACACUUGAAUUUGUGAGUCAGUCUGUAUUUUU